GGCUGUUUAGGUUAAUGGUAGAGCACUCAGCUGGUACCUGAGGGGCACAGGUUCAAUUCCUGUAGCUGCCU
This is a non-coding RNA of Octopus bimaculoides (California two-spot octopus), 71 nucleotides long. The record is from Rfam. Lineage: Eukaryota; Metazoa; Mollusca; Cephalopoda; Octopoda; Octopodidae.